This is a long non-coding RNA of Ylistrum balloti, 113 nucleotides long. RefSeq lists it as uncharacterized. The record is from RefSeq and is a predicted model, not a curated record. Lineage: Eukaryota; Metazoa; Mollusca; Bivalvia; Pectinida; Pectinidae. The transcript is spliced from 3 exons.
CAGGAGGAAAAUCAGAUGUUAGCUUGGGGCUCCUGAUCACAGACAUAAUUUUGUUUGUUAUUUGCGUGCCGCUCUGUUGGUUUGUGGUUGUAACUACCAAGGAUAAAGAUAAG